This 77-nucleotide transfer RNA is filed under the name Bemisia tabaci. RNAcentral's name for it is "tRNA-Asp". Lineage: Eukaryota; Metazoa; Arthropoda; Insecta; Hemiptera; Aleyrodidae. The record is from RNAcentral. RNAcentral also lists the same sequence under 1 other name.
AAAGAUUUAGUUAAAUUACAUAAUAAUAUUAAUUUGUCAAAUUAAAGUUAGGAUAUAAAAAAAAAAUCUAGUCUUUA